GACGAACGCUGGCGGCGUGCUUAACACAUGCAAGUCGAGCGGUAAGGCCCUUUCGGGGGUACGACGAGCGGCGAACGGGUGAGUAACACGUGGGUGACCUGCCCUCAGCUCUGGGAUAAGCCUGGGAAACUGGGUCUAAUACUGGAUAUGACUCCACGGUGCAUGUCGUGGGGUGGAAAGCCUUGUGCGGCUGAGGAUGGGCCCGCGGCCUAUCAGCUUGUUGGUGGGGUGANGGCCUACCAAGGCGACGACGGGUAGCCGGCCUGAGAGGGCGACCGGCCACACUGGGACUGAGACACGGCCCAGACUCCUACGGGAGGCAGCAGUGGGGAAUCUUGCGCAAUGGGCGAAAGCCUGACGCAGCGACGCCGCGUGAGGGAUGACGGCCUCGGUGU
Molecule: ribosomal RNA, 395 nt
Filed under: uncultured bacterium
Lineage: Bacteria
Description: bacterial SSU rRNA
Rfam family: Bacterial small subunit ribosomal RNA
Source: RNAcentral